Molecule: ribosomal RNA, 83 nt
Filed under: Weissella paramesenteroides
Lineage: Bacteria; Bacillati; Bacillota; Bacilli; Lactobacillales; Lactobacillaceae
Also listed under: 2 other names
Description: partial 16S ribosomal RNA
Rfam family: Bacterial small subunit ribosomal RNA
Source: RNAcentral
AAGGUGGGACAGAUGAUUAGGGUGAAGUCGUAACAAGGUAGCCGUAGGAGAACCUGCGGCUGGAUCACCUCCUUUCUAAGGAA